CUACGUGCCAGCAGCCGCGGUAAUACGUAGGGCGCGAGCGUUGUCCGGAAUUAUUGGGCGUAAAGAGCUUGUAGGCGGUUUGUCGCGUCUGCUGUGAAAGGCCGGGGCUUAGCCCCGUGUAUUGCAGUGGGUACGGGCAGACUAGAGUGCAGUAGGGGAGACUGGAACUCCUGGUGUAGCGGUGGAAUGCGCAGAUAUCAGGAAGAACACCGAUGGCGAAGGCAGGUCUCUGGGCUGUAACUGACGCUGAGAAGCGAAAGCAUGGGGAGCGAACAGGAUUAGAUACCCUGGUAGUCCAUGCCGUAAACGUUGGGCACUAGGUGUGGGGGACAUUCCACGUUUUCCGCGCCGUAGCUAACGCAUUAAGUGCCCCGCCUGGGGAGUACGGCCGCAAGGCUAAAACUCAAAGAAAUUGACGGGGGCCCGCACAAGCGGCGGAGCAUGCGGAUUAAUUCGAUGCAACGCGAAGAACCUUACCAAGGCUUGACAU
Molecule: ribosomal RNA, 490 nt
Filed under: uncultured bacterium
Lineage: Bacteria
Description: bacterial SSU rRNA
Rfam family: Bacterial small subunit ribosomal RNA
Source: RNAcentral